UACGAAGGGGGCUAGCGUUGCUCGGAAUCACUGGGCGGAAAGGGUGCGUAGGCGGGUUUUUAAGUCAGGGGUGAAAUCCUGGAGCUCAACUCCAGAACUGCCUUUGAUACUGAAGAUCUUGAGUCCGGGAGAGGUGAGUGGAACUGCGAGUGUAGAGGUGAAAUUCGUAGAUAUUCGCAAGAACACCAGUGGCGAAGGCGGCUCACUGGCCCGGUACUGACGCUGAGGCACGAAAGCGUGGGGAGCAAACAGG
RNAcentral lists this ribosomal RNA (253 nucleotides) under uncultured bacterium. Its description in RNAcentral is "partial 16S ribosomal RNA". It matches the Rfam family "Bacterial small subunit ribosomal RNA", at positions 524 to 776 of the family's 1533-position model. The record is from RNAcentral.